This 424-nucleotide ribosomal RNA is filed under the name uncultured bacterium. RNAcentral describes it as "bacterial SSU rRNA". It matches the Rfam family "Bacterial small subunit ribosomal RNA", at positions 355 to 776 of the family's 1533-position model. The record is from RNAcentral.
UGAGGAAUAUUGGUCAAUGGGCGCAAGCCUGAACCAGCCAUGCCGCGUGCAGGAAGAAUGCCCUACGGGUCGUAACCUGCUUUUCUGUGAGGAUAAACCUAGAUUUGCGAAUCUAGCUGAAGGUAUCACAUGAAUAAGGAUCAGCUAACUCCGUGCCAGCAGCCGCGGUAAUACGGAGGAUUCGAGCGUUAUCCGGAUUUAUUGGGUUUAAAGGGUGCGUAGGCGGACUAUUAAGUCAGUGGUGAAAUACAUCAGCUCAACUGAUGCACUGCCAUUGAUACUGGUAGACUAGAAUAUAAAUGGUGCAGGCGGAAUGAAUCAUGUAGAGGUGACAUUCAUAGAUAUGAUUCAGAACACCGAUCGCGAAGGCAGCUUGCAAAGAUAGUAUUGACGCUGAGGCACGAAAGCGUGGGUAGCGAACAGG